Molecule: long non-coding RNA, 3217 nt
Organism: Cyanistes caeruleus (blue tit)
Lineage: Eukaryota; Metazoa; Chordata; Aves; Passeriformes; Paridae
Source: RefSeq, a predicted model, not a curated record
UGAGCGGGGGUUUCUCUCCAUCUCCCCGAGCUGUGAAGGAGGGGUUUCUCUCCAUCUCCCGGGGCUGUGAGCGGGGGUUUCUCUCCAUCUCCCGGGGCUGUGAGCGGGGUUUCUCUCCAUCUCCCCGAGCUGUGAAGGAGGGGUUUCUCUCCAUCUCCCGGGGCUGUGAGCGGGGUUUCUCUUGCACCGCAGGGCUGCAUCCCGCGCUGUUUCCAGGCGGAGCUGCAGUACCACAUCGCCGGUGCCCAUCACACAGCUGCGACAGGGGCUGUCUGUAGCUGUGGGAGUGUUCUGUACCAGCUCCAGACCAAACAGGGCUCAGCCUCCUCCUCCCCUCAUGCAGGGAUGUCGGGAGGAUGAAUCUCAUCAGGUACAGCAUCAUUCAGACACCUCACAGGCGCUCGAUUACAGUAAUAUCUGCCUCAUCCAAAGCUCAUCGGGAUAAAAUAACUAAGGGGAUGCUGCUCCUUGUUUUUAGCGCUUUAUUUCUCUUUUAUUACGUGGGUUAGAGCUUUUGUUCCAAACACAGUCCAAGCUAUCUUAGAAAUCAGCGAUGUGACUGCAUCCUCGUGCAUCAUUUCCUUUCUGUUUCACCCAGUCCGUUCUGUUUCUCUGAGCCUCGUGGCGUUUGCGGCUGUUCCAGCCAGGCUGGAAGCGGAUCCGGGCAGCGGCUGAGUCGCUCUCAAGGUCACACGGGGAAUCUGCCAAGAACAGCACCCCGACCCUCUCGGCUCUCCCAAGCCCACCCUCAACACUCCAGCCUCCUUUCCUUGGGCUAUGAACCUUUCUGCAGCAAGAUUUGAAGCAGAUUCCAGCUUAGAUCAAAAUCUCUAGGAUUCACUUGUGAUUUCUGCUGUAUCAUACAUCUGUGUUCUUGCUGCUGGCUCCUGUAGCACGUUCCCUGCUUUGGUCUUCCCAUCCCUGCCUGGGCUCUUCUGCAGGCAGCUGCUGGGGGUCAGCAAAGGUGUAGGACAGGUACACUCACCUGUCUGACUCACAGCACUUCCCAAAGAUUCACUCUCCAGCCCUUGGAACCUGCUUUGCCAGCCCGGGGAGCAUGGCCAUGGUGUGGGUGACUGCAGUUUGGUAUGGGACAAUCUGUUCCUUCCAUGCAUUGCUCAGAGGUGGAGCCCAUUGAGAAACCCCUUCUCUGCCCCGAUGGAACAGAGGGUUAUGUCACCUUCACGUGGAACCAUGUUCAACUGGAAUGUCACAGAUUUGCCUCUGGGGUCAACCUGAGCUGCAACAGAGCAUGGAGAAGACAGAUUUCAGGUCAGAGAACAGAACAAGCAUGAUCUUAUCCCCAUGCCAGUUCCUCCACAUUGCAAAGUCUCCGCAAGGCAUGACGACACCAUUCCUGCUCUGGGAGGAAGGCACGGACGCCUCGUCUGCAGCGCCUGCCAGAACAAACUGCGAGGAACAAACAGGCACAAGCAAUCUCCAGGUAAGAAUGCAGAGGAGAACAAGCACACUGGCUUUCCCAGAGCAUGGAACAGCCAGGCUCACAGUAUGUACUGCCAAAACCAGAUAAAUGUUCCCUAGAGAAACCAGGCUGUAUUUAUGAGGGACUGCAAGAUCUCAGUGCCCAUCCUCAUUUGGUGCCUGCUCACCUGGGGAGCAGAAGAGGUAUUCUGCUUAAAGUAAUGGAUCCAGUCUGGUGUCCCACCCUGCUGGGCCACGAGGGAGAGGACAGCAUAAGAGAGGAAUUGCAUUUUCCUUCUCCUCACUUGUGACUCUGUGUGGUCAGAUUUUAAUUCUUAAAUUCAACUCCUUGAAUUAUUUCUAUAACCCUUACUGGUGUCACUCUGAGUAUUACUAUUAUCCUUAAAAAUACAUAACCCCCUUUCUCUAGAAAUUUUAACUAUCCAGAAAGCAAGCCCUAUGACUUUGAAAUCAGUACAGAAAAUUUAUCAACAUAAUUGAAAAUAAAACUAAAUUUAGGAUGAAAGCCAUACCUUGCACCCUCAAGGCUUACAAAUUUAGUCUUGUCCAAGGUAUGAAUGCGUGUCCCCAAAAUUAAUAUAAUUCUGAAAAUUUCUUAUGUUUGUCAGACAGAACUAGACAAUUUUAGAGGCAUACAUAUGUGUGCAAAACAAAGUUCUGGUUACAAAGGCACAUCCUGGAUUAGAGAAAACAAAUGUCAUAUCAUACAGAGAUUUCCAUAAGGAUGGGAAUUGCUCAGGAUUGGCAUGGGUCAAGCAUAACUUUAAAUGCUAUUCCUUGAACAAUAUCCAAAGGAUCUGACUCCACCUUUGCUCACUGUAAACUACACAGUACCUAGAUAAGUGCUGAAUACAUAAUAGCCAGAUUUUUAUGUUGAUGGCCAAACCCAAACACCUACAAGUGACUUCAGCUAUUGGGUAUCAAACAAAGAAAUCAAUUUCUAAAGACCUGCUUGGAUAACACAGUUAUCCUUUUCAAUACAUAAAACUUGAAUAGGGCUCUGGGAAAUAGCAGCAUAAAAAUAAUGUCGGUGAUGAAUUUAAAAUGUUCCCCAAACCAGGAAUUAUAAGGAAGUCUUGGGAGAGGUCUUUCCACAGUUUUUAAUUCUGAGUAUUAGAUUUUUCAUAAUCUCCGUUGGUUACUUGGCCACUGCUGUGGGCUAUUGGAUAACUCAUCUGGGCAGCACACAGCUCUUGCCACAGGCCAGGAUCCCAAAAGUGCAUGUGGGACAUCUGUCAUCCUGACUCUGCCCAUGCUGCUCCUAUUUUAUAACUGCAGAUCUCAAACAAUGAACAAUGCUUGAUAGUCAUCAACCUGAUUUCAAAAAUGGAGUAACUGAUGUAAGGAGAUGAAGAAACUCACUCCAUACCACUGAAUCAGUUGAUAUCCAUACAAGGAUUAGACACAUUUCCUCAUUCCUGGUGCCAUUUGUAACUUACCACAAAAGAACACUAAACCCGCUUCUUAUGGCCAUUCUCCGUGCUUCAGCAGACCAUGGCAUCAAAGGACCAGGCAAUAAAUCCUCACUUCUCACAGUUUCCAUGUGGAGACAGGGAAUCCAUCAAUCCCCAAUCUGCUACAAACCCCACAUUUGUGCUUUUGUAGGAAAGUUAGAGCUAAUCCAGACUGUGAGUUUUCUGGAGCAUGUUUAUGUGAAUAAGGCCAAGAAACCAGUUUUGUCUGAUUGCUGUCUCAUGUCCUACAUGAUGUGGUAGCAAUAGUCUGUCAAAAAUUGCUCAGAACUUAUAUAUGUAAAAGUUUUCCCACACCUUUA